AGCCAUGUAGUGAGUACAACGCGAACUAUUCUUUCGCCUUUUACUAAAGAACACCGUGUGCUCAUUACAUUAAAUGGCAUACACUUAUUUUUGGAGAGCCUUUUCACUUAUUGAAAAAA
Helianthus annuus (common sunflower) is the source of this 119-nucleotide non-coding RNA. Lineage: Eukaryota; Viridiplantae; Streptophyta; Magnoliopsida; Asterales; Asteraceae. The record is from Rfam.